Molecule: microRNA precursor, 66 nt
Filed under: Bombyx mori (domestic silkworm)
Lineage: Eukaryota; Metazoa; Arthropoda; Insecta; Lepidoptera; Bombycidae
Description: mir-2774 microRNA precursor family
Rfam family: mir-2774 microRNA precursor family
Source: Rfam by way of RNAcentral
ACAACAUUCGGACCGUCGUCUACCUAGCUAUAUCACUCGCUCGUUGGAAGAUCUUCCCUUCACCUU